This 78-nucleotide transfer RNA is filed under the name Rhodococcus ruber. RNAcentral's name for it is "tRNA-OTHER". It matches the Rfam family "tRNA". Rfam says of the family: Transfer RNA (tRNA) molecules are approximately 80 nucleotides in length. Their secondary structure includes four short double-helical elements and three loops (D, anti-codon, and T loops). The record is from RNAcentral. Lineage: Bacteria; Bacillati; Actinomycetota; Actinomycetes; Mycobacteriales; Nocardiaceae.
UUCCUCGUAGCUCAACAGGUAGAGCCGUGGCACCGCAAGGUGGCCGCACAGACGUCGGUUCGAGCCCGACCGAGGGAA